AUACGGAGGUUGCAAGCGUUACUCGGAAUCACUGGGCGUAAAGCGCGCGCAGGCGGUCUUUUAAGUUGGAUGUGAAAGCCUACGGCUCAACCGUAGAACUGCACCCAAAACUAUUAGACUAGAGUGUGGGAGAGGAAGAUGGAAUUAGUUGUGUAGGGGUAAAAUCCGUAGAGAUAACUAGGAAUACCAAAAGCGAAGGCAAUCUUCUGGAACACUACUGACGCUGAGGCGCGGAAGCGUGGGGAGCAAACAGGAUUAGAAACCCUAGUAGUCC
RNAcentral lists this ribosomal RNA (274 nucleotides) under uncultured bacterium. RNAcentral describes it as "partial 16S ribosomal RNA". It matches the Rfam family "Bacterial small subunit ribosomal RNA", at positions 523 to 796 of the family's 1533-position model. The record is from RNAcentral.